RNAcentral lists this ribosomal RNA (1232 nucleotides) under Microbacterium album. Its description in RNAcentral is "bacterial SSU rRNA". It matches the Rfam family "Bacterial small subunit ribosomal RNA", at positions 55 to 1304 of the family's 1533-position model. Lineage: Bacteria; Bacillati; Actinomycetota; Actinomycetes; Micrococcales; Microbacteriaceae. The record is from RNAcentral.
AUGCAAGUCGAACGGUGAAGCUCCAGCUUGCUGGAGUGGAUCAGUGGCGAACGGGUGAGUAACACGUGAGCAACCUGCCCCGGACUCUGGGAUAAGCGCUGGAAACGGCGUCUAAUACUGGAUACGCCCCAGAACCGCAUGGUUACUGGGGGGAAAGAUUUUUUGGUCUGGGAUGGGCUCGCGGCCUAUCAGCUUGUUGGUGAGGUAAUGGCUCACCAAGGCGUCGACGGGUAGCCGGCCUGAGAGGGUGACCGGCCACACUGGGACUGAGACACGGCCCAGACUCCUACGGGAGGCAGCAGUGGGGAAUAUUGCACAAUGGGCGGAAGCCUGAUGCAGCAACGCCGCGUGAGGGACGACGGCCUUCGGGUUGUAAACCUCUUUUAGCAGGGAAGAAGCGAGAGUGACGGUACCUGCAGAAAAAGCGCCGGCUAACUACGUGCCAGCAGCCGCGGUAAUACGUAGGGCGCAAGCGUUAUCCGGAAUUAUUGGGCGUAAAGAGCUCGUAGGCGGUCUGUCGCGUCUGCUGUGAAAACCCGAGGCUCAACCUCGGGCCUGCAGUGGGUACGGGCAGACUAGAGUGCGGUAGGGGAGAUUGGAAUUCCUGGUGUAGCGGUGGAAUGCGCAGAUAUCAGGAGGAACACCGAUGGCGAAGGCAGAUCUCUGGGCCGUAACUGACGCUGAGGAGCGAAAGGGUGGGGAGCAAACAGGCUUAGAUACCCUGGUAGUCCACCCCGUAAACGUUGGGAACUAGUUGUGGGGGCCUUUCCACGGUCUCCGUGACGCAGCUAACGCAUUAAGUUCCCCGCCUGGGGAGUACGGCCGCAAGGCUAAAACUCAAAGGAAUUGACGGGGACCCGCACAAGCGGCGGAGCAUGCGGAUUAAUUCGAUGCAACGCGAAGAACCUUACCAAGGCUUGACAUAUAGAGGAAAGGGCUGGAAACAGUCCCCCCGCAAGGUCUCUAUACAGGUGGUGCAUGGUUGUCGUCAGCUCGUGUCGUGAGAUGUUGGGUUAAGUCCCGCAACGAGCGCAACCCUCGUUCUAUGUUGCCAGCACGUAAUGGUGGGAACUCAUGGGAUACUGCCGGGGUCAACUCGGAAGAAGGUUGGGGAUGACGUCAAAUCAUCAUGCCCCUUWUGUUUGGGCUUMMSSAUGCUACAUGGCCGGUACAAGGGCUGCAUUACCGKGAGGUGGACGAAUCCAAAARCCGGUCCCAGUUCGGAUUGAGGU